Molecule: ribosomal RNA, 253 nt
Filed under: uncultured bacterium
Lineage: Bacteria
Description: partial 16S ribosomal RNA
Rfam family: Bacterial small subunit ribosomal RNA
Source: RNAcentral
UACGGGGGGUGCGAGCGUUGUCCGGAAUCACUGGGCGUAAAGGGCGCGUAGGUGGCCUGAUAAGGGUGUGGUGAAAGUCCGGGGCUCAACCCCGGAUCUGCCGUGCCGACUGUUGGGCUGGAGUACUGUAGGGGCAGGCGGAAUUCCGGGUGUAGCGGUGGAAUGCGUAGAGAUCCGGAGGAACACCGACGGCGAAGGCAGCGCCCUGGACGAGAUCUGACGCUCAGGCACGAAAGCUGGGGGAGCAAACAGG